GUUAGUUUCAUUUUAAUAAAUUUUAAGGGAGGUGAGUGUAAUUUACCCAAAUGCGAUUCACGUUCCUUUUUCUUUCCCAGCAAAGUUGAUUCACGUUUUCAGACUCAUGUUUAUCUUCCAGCAAGUUACACUAAGUUUCAAUCUAAACCAACAACACCGAGUCAUCGAUUCUCCUCACGUCCUCGAUACAACUUGCAGCGAUUCAACCAACAACACCGAGUCACACUUCAAACCGACUCAGCUCCAGGACAACAACGUCACGCGGUCUUUAACACAGAUCACAUCAACUCAGCUGCAGCACGCAGGAGCGCACAGCGUUGGAAUUCUCGGACUAGCUCCGAGCUUUUGGAGUUGCAGUGAACUCAAUUGGCCGUAAAAACGCCGGCAGAGGAUGCGAUCUGUGGCCGUAAAAACUGCCACUGCAUAAGACAACGCAUAAGCGUUCUGAAGCUGUCCGGUUGACACCAUAGAUGAUUGAAGAAUGAC
Long non-coding RNA from Vicia villosa (hairy vetch), 486 nucleotides. RefSeq lists it as uncharacterized. The record is from RefSeq and is a predicted model, not a curated record. NCBI's taxonomy places the organism in Eukaryota, Viridiplantae, Streptophyta, Magnoliopsida, Fabales, Fabaceae. The transcript is spliced from 3 exons.